This 253-nucleotide ribosomal RNA is filed under the name uncultured bacterium. Its description in RNAcentral is "partial 16S ribosomal RNA". It matches the Rfam family "Bacterial small subunit ribosomal RNA", at positions 524 to 776 of the family's 1533-position model. The record is from RNAcentral.
UACGUAGGUGGCGAGCGUUGUCCGGAUUUACUGGGCGUAAAGGGAGCGUAGGCGGAUUUUUAAGUGAGAUGUGAAAUACUCGGGCUCAACUUGAGUGCUGCAUUUCAAACUGGAAGUCUAGAGUGCAGGAGAGGAGAAUGGAAUUCCUAGUGUAGCGGUGAAAUGCGUAGAGAUUAGGAAGAACACCAGUGGCGAAGGCGACUUUCUGGACUGUAACUGACGCUGAGGCACGAAAGUGUGGGGAGCAAACAGG